CCUACGGGAGGCAGCAGUGGGGAAUAUUGCACAAUGGGGGAAACCCUGAUGCAGCGACGCCGCGUGAGUGAAGAAGUGACUCGGUAUGUAAAGCUCUAUCAGCAGGGAAGAAAAUGACGGUACCUGAAGAAGAAGCCCCGGCUAACUACGUGCCAGCAGCCGCGGUAAUACGUAGGGGGCAAGCGUUAUCCGGAUUUACUGGGUGUAAAGGGGGCGUAGACGGCGAUGCAAGUCUGGAGUGAAAGGCGGGGGCUCAACCCCCGGACUGCUCUGGAAACUGUAUGGCUGGAGUGCAGGAGAGGCAAGCGGAAUUCCUAGUGUAGCGGUGAAAUGCGUAGAUAUCAGGAGGAACACCAGUGGCGAAGGCGGCUUACUGGACUGUAACUGACGUUGAGGCUCGAAAGCGUGGGGAGCAAACAGGAUUAGAUACCCGAGUAGUC
Molecule: ribosomal RNA, 440 nt
Filed under: uncultured bacterium
Lineage: Bacteria
Description: partial 16S ribosomal RNA
Rfam family: Bacterial small subunit ribosomal RNA
Source: RNAcentral